GCUUAGGUCGCAGAGAGAUGGUGUUUUACUCUUCGGUGGUGGUGGAAUUGGUAGACACAAGGGAUUUAAAAUCCCUCGGCGUUCGCGCUGUGCCGGUUCAAGUCCGGCCCGGGGCA
Molecule: transfer RNA, 116 nt
Filed under: Vibrio splendidus 12B01
Lineage: Bacteria; Pseudomonadati; Pseudomonadota; Gammaproteobacteria; Vibrionales; Vibrionaceae
Description: tRNA-Leu
Rfam family: tRNA (bases 38-110)
About the family: Transfer RNA (tRNA) molecules are approximately 80 nucleotides in length. Their secondary structure includes four short double-helical elements and three loops (D, anti-codon, and T loops).
Source: RNAcentral